RNAcentral lists this long non-coding RNA (565 nucleotides) under Physcomitrium patens. RNAcentral's name for it is "long non-coding RNA (PPAT_LNC011005)". The record is from RNAcentral. Lineage: Eukaryota; Viridiplantae; Streptophyta; Bryopsida; Funariales; Funariaceae.
GGCUUUAAAAUAUUCAAAAUUUGAAAUAGAAAAACCAUAUUUCAUCUAAGAUUAGGAUAGAAUUGCAAAGUAGUUAGUUCCGUAUACUAGCCUUGUAUCUUAUUGAGUCUUAGGAAAGAAUUGACAUCAUAGUUGGUAGUGGUAAAAUAAUUGGUGAACAAUAUUUCUAGUGGAUGCUCUUAUUUGGUAAAAGGUAUUGUUGACAAGGUAGAAAAUUACCAUAGAACCUACCAUGGUCAAGACAUAUUUGACUUAAUUCCAAAGUUAUUAAUCCUCAUUACAUAUUAUUUUAGGAGAAAUUUAGAAUUAGCUUUGAAGGAAUUUUUUUAGAAAAGAAAAGCUAGAGAAUGAGCCAAAAAGCUUAAGAGGAAAAAUGGUCAUUAAUUAAUAAUCAUAGUUAUAUUUAAUAGGAGAUGUCCAAGCCUAGUUAUUAGUUUCAAAAUCCAAAGGAGUUGUCGUAGGGCAGAGGAAGGUGAUGACCAGGUUAGCUGCAUGUAGCUUGGUAUGUAGCGUGGUUAGAGAACAUGAGCACUUGGAAGAAUCUCCAUUGAUCUAUCUCAUUAUU